UGUUUGAUGUUCUAACGUGGACCCGUAAUCCGGGUUGCGGACAGUGUCUGGUGGGUAGUUUGACUGGGGCGGUCUCCUCCUAAAGAGUAACGGAGGAGCACGAAGGUUGGCUAAUCCUGGUCGGACAUCAGGAGGUUAGUGCAAUGGCAUAAGCCAGCUUGACUGCGAGCGUGACGGCGCGAGCAGGUGCGAAAGCAGGUCAUAGUGAUCCGGUGGUUCUGAAUGGAAGGGCCAUCGCUCAACGGAUAAAAGGUACUCCGGGGAUAACAGGCUGAUACCGCCCAAGAGUUCAUAUCGACGGCGGUGUUUGGCACCUCGAUGUCGGCUCAUCACAUCCUGGGGCUGAAGUAGGUCCCAAGGGUAUGGCUGUUCGCCAUUUAAAGUGGUACGCGAGCUGGGUUUAGAACGUCGUGAGACAGUUCGGUCCCUAUCUGCCGUGGGCGCUGGAGAACUGAGGGGGGCUGCUCCUAGUACGAGAGGACCGGAGUGGACGCAUCACUGGUGUUCGGGUUGUCAUGCCAAUGGCACUGCCCGGUAGCUAAAUGCGGAAGAGAUAAGUGCUGAAAGCAUCUAAGCACGAAACUUGCCCCGAGAUGAGUUCUCCCUGAGACUUAAAGUCUCCUGAAGGAACGUUGAAGACGACGACGUUGAUAGGCCGGGUGUGUAAGCGCAGCGAUGCGUUGAGCUAACCGGUACUAAUGAACCGUGAGGCUUAACCUUAC
RNAcentral lists this ribosomal RNA (722 nucleotides) under Salmonella enterica subsp. enterica serovar Eingedi. Its description in RNAcentral is "partial 23S ribosomal RNA". It matches the Rfam family "Bacterial large subunit ribosomal RNA", at positions 2211 to 2925 of the family's 2925-position model. Lineage: Bacteria; Pseudomonadati; Pseudomonadota; Gammaproteobacteria; Enterobacterales; Enterobacteriaceae. The record is from RNAcentral.